Molecule: long non-coding RNA, 2835 nt
Filed under: Lactuca sativa (garden lettuce)
Lineage: Eukaryota; Viridiplantae; Streptophyta; Magnoliopsida; Asterales; Asteraceae
Description: long non-coding RNA (LSAT_LNC006570)
Source: RNAcentral
AUUGAACCAUUCUUAGUAGAAUUCACAUGCCCUGACGAAGAAACAAACCUUAACAUGUCGUCCUUAACCGACAAAGAGAAAGUCCAACUACUCUGCUCAAAAUCCAAAAACCUUAAACCAUGCCUAACUUCCAGAUAGACAGAACCAUUCAACCCAUAUCCAUAAUGACUCUAAUCCACAGCUCGAAACGACCAAAGCCCCUCUAACCCUGAAUUAUUUUACUACUAACGGGUAAACACAAUCCCUUACCAUUUGUAGAUANCUCGAAACGACCAAAGCCCCUCUAACCCUGAAUUAUUUUACUACUAAUGGGUAAACACAAUCCCUUACCAUUUGUAGAUACCGACUACCUUGCACCUGAGUACAAAAGCGACUUCCACCACAAGUCACAACCAUUGGUGCUAUACCAACAUAUGCAUUACGCCCUGCUAACCACAGCUCAUAUAUUCGAUCUAUCUGAGAUCUCCCCAUUUAUGCAUUGUCUUACUAAUAACUGGAAUACAGAACUCCCGACCAAUGGCUGAAGUUGACAACCUCACACAAGGUCGCACCACGAGAACCCAACCAAGAGUCUACCUGACAAAGGCCAUCCGAGAAUGACCAUGAACACGGAUCCAAUGAUAUAUUUUGCAACCUGGGCACCCAUUAGUCUAACUAUACAAACCAUACCCUAAAAUCGAGGAUCGUCCCCUUGCCAUACUUACCCUUAGUCCCCGAAUACGAUCACCUCCUAAACAUGCAAUAUGAACACUCAAAACAUCUUAAUCAUCAAUUCCAAAAAAAAAUUAAUACAAAAUUCGUUCCCAAAAUAUUUCAUAUAUGCACUUGACUUCCUACAAACUCGUAAUUCUUGAAUUUUCCAUAAGACUCUCGACCAGCACCACAUGACCUAAGCAUAACCUAGAACGUCUGAACGGACUUCUUACCCAAGAUACCAUAACUAAAUAGGCCUUUCCCAUGGGUCUCACCCCAUCUAAUAUAACCAAACGAGCCUCGCCCAUGGGACUCACACAAACUGAUAUAACCAAACAGGCUUCACCCACGGAUAUUACCCAAGCUAACAUAGCCAUAAGGGCCUCGUCCAAAAUAGAGAAUUACACAAGCCUAAAUUUGACAAUAAGUCCAACCAUGCCAAAAAUCAACGGUCCAAAUCAAGGUCAGGGUCAAAAAUCAUCAUCAUCACCCCUCUAAGUCGUGGCCUCCCUAUGGCAACGUCGUGAUCACAAAAGCCAAAAUAGUCGAGUUCAUCCCCAGUCGCCACGUUAUGGCAACCAGAAGCCCACGUCGUUGGAUCUAGGUCUAAACAGCUUGAUGGAUUAAGCUGUUUUCCUUAAUGCUUAAGAGCUCCAUAGCUCAGAUCUAAUUUUCCCCAAGGUCUUGAUGGACAAAGUUUCCAACUUUAUCCAUUAAUACAUCCUAAUAAUCCAAGAUCUUUAAACCUAGGUCCUUAAUUCUAACUUAAGGCAUAAUGUCAACCAUUAAUCAUUUAAUCCUUAAAAUCUCAAGUCCAUAAUUUUCAGAAGAGUUUCCUACUCUUAAACCACCAUAAAAAUUAUUGCUUUAUGGACAUGUAUGUCCAAUGCAUGUCACUUCCCAAACUAUGUCACAGUCAUGAAAAGGUGAGCUCAAACUUAGUCAUGGAACCAAAAACUCCAAGAAAUUCUAGAUUUACAAAAUAUAGCACCAAAAGGACCUCAAGGAUCCAUAAAGUUGCCAACUUUAUGGGAUCCAUUCCUCCAAACUUCCACCGCAUAAAGAAAAGCGGUAAAGAACUUUGAUCUAGAAACACGCAACCAAAAAGCUUGAAUCCCGGACACUUACAAAGGUCCGUAAUUUGAAGAAGAAGGUGAUGAUGCAGUUUCCUUGCUGGAUUAUCACACUAGAACACCUUCCUCUUCUUCUUCAUCAAGCUACCAAAAGUACCAAAAUGAGCCAAGAAUCACCAAGAGGGAUUACGGUUAGGGUUUCUAAGGUUAACAGUGAUGGAUGCUAAGGAAGAUGACUUAGAAUGGGAGUUAAGGUGUCUAUAUGAGAUAGAAACCCUAAAAAUAUCAGGUUUCGGGCUACAACGGCUGCCACGUCGUGCCCAUCCUUUGCCACAUCAUGGAACCCACCAAAUAUACACAUUGUAGAUUAACCUUGCCAUGUCAUGGGGAUCCAUGCGCUAUGUCGUGGCAUGGAGUUUUUCGCAAAAAAUCCAUCUUUGAUCCAACUAAGCUUCAAGCUAAACCAAUCUGGUAAACAGGUGUUACAACUUUCCCCCACUUAAACUAGAUUUUGUCCUCGAAAUCAUUCGUUACAACUUACCCUACCACACUAGCCAAUCCCAACUGAACUUUCUUGAAACUAAAAUAGAUUUGAGAAAUCAUCUCACACAGACGACCACCUUCCGAUACUACUAUUGAACCAUUCUUAGUAGAAUUCACAUGCCCUGACGAAGAAACAAACCUUAACAUGUCGUCCUUAACCGACAAAGAGAAAGUCCAACUACUCUGCUCAAAAUCCAAAAACCUUAAACCAUGCCUAACUUCCAGAUAGACAGAACCAUUCAACCCAUAUCCAUAAUGACUCUAAUCCACAGCUCGAAACGACCAAAGCCCCUCUAACCCUGAAUUAUUUUACUACUAACGGGUAAACACAAUCCCUUACCAUUUGUAGAUACCGACUACCUUGCACCUGAGUACAAAAGCGACUUCCAACACAAGUCACAACCAUUGGUGCUAUACCAACAUAUGCAUUACGCCCUGCUAACCAAAGCUCAUAUAUUCGAUCUAUCCGAGAUCUCCCCAUUUAUGCAUUGUCUUACUAAUAACUGGAAUACAGAACUCCCGACCA